Non-coding RNA from Schistosoma mattheei, 45 nucleotides. Lineage: Eukaryota; Metazoa; Platyhelminthes; Trematoda; Strigeidida; Schistosomatidae. The record is from Rfam.
AUCCAGUUGACGAGUCCCAAAUAAGACGAAAUUAACGUCCUGGAU